Molecule: ribosomal RNA, 253 nt
Filed under: uncultured bacterium
Lineage: Bacteria
Description: partial 16S ribosomal RNA
Rfam family: Bacterial small subunit ribosomal RNA
Source: RNAcentral
UACGUAGGGCGCGAGCGUUGUCCGGAAUUACUGGGCGUAAAGGGCGCGUAGGCGGUUCGCUAAGUUGAAUGUGAAAACUCUGGGCUUAACCCAGAGCCUGCAUCCAAAACUGGCGAACUGGAGUACUGGAGGGGAAAGCGGAAUUCCUGGUGUAGCGGUGAAAUGCGUAGAUAUCAGGAGGAACACCGGUGGCGAAGGCGGCUUUCUGGACAGUAACUGACGCUGAGGCGCGAAAGCCGGGGGAGCAAACAGG